This 507-nucleotide ribosomal RNA is filed under the name uncultured Glomeromycotina. RNAcentral describes it as "SSU rRNA". It matches the Rfam family "Eukaryotic small subunit ribosomal RNA", at positions 569 to 1078 of the family's 1831-position model. Lineage: Eukaryota; Fungi; Glomeromycota. The record is from RNAcentral.
AGCAGCCGCGGUAAUUCCAGCUCCAAUAGCGUAUAUUAAAGUUGUUGCAGUUAAAAAGCUCGUAGUUGAAUUUCGGGAUCAAUAUUUCGGUCAUGCCGUUGGUAUGCACUGUUAUCAUUGAUUUCUCACCUUCUAAAGAACCGUAAUGCCAUUAAUUUGGUGUUACGGGGAAUUAGGACUGUUACCUUGAAAAAUUAGAGUGUUUAAAGCAGGCUCACGCUUGAAUACAUUAGCAUGGAAUAAUGAAAUAGGACAUCCGAUUCUAUUUUGUUGGUUUCUAGGAUCGAUGUAAUGAUUAAUAGGGAUAGUUGGGGGCAUUAGUAUUCAAUUGUCAGAGGUGAAAUUCUUGGAUUUAUUGAAGACUAACUACUGCGAAAGCAUUUGCCAAGGAUGUUUUCAUUAAUCAAGAACGAAAGUUAGGGGAUCGAAGACGAUCAGAUACCGUCGUAGUCUUAACCAUAAACUAUGCCGACUAGGGAUCGGAUGAUGUUAAUUUUUAAUGACUCA